RNAcentral lists this unclassified non-coding RNA (410 nucleotides) under Hevea brasiliensis (rubber tree). Lineage: Eukaryota; Viridiplantae; Streptophyta; Magnoliopsida; Malpighiales; Euphorbiaceae. The record is from RNAcentral.
AUGGACUUCUACCUAUAUCACUUGUAAGCGGCACCAAAUUAAAAUAAACAUAUUUUUUUUCUUUGAGCACCGGAAUCUCCCUUCCGACGCACUUGACACGGCGGCCGGCGUCUGCUUGCCCCUUCGCCAAUGCGUGUGCUUCAUAAACCUUCCCCUUCCCCUUCUCCUUCUCCUUCCUCCUCUAUUAUAUCCAAGAAUUGAAAAUCUCCUUCAUCAAUACCUUGUUUCUCUUCAAAUUAGUUCACCAUGUCGGUAAGAACUGUCAAAGUCAGUAAUGUUUCUUUAGGAGCAACUGAGCGAGACCUCAAGGAGUUCUUCUCUUUUUCUGGUGAUAUUGAAUAUGUUGAAGUACAGAGUGAUAACGAGAGAUCUCAAAUUGCAUAUGUUACCUUCAAAGAUUCACAGGGUGC